This 790-nucleotide ribosomal RNA is filed under the name uncultured Desulfobacteraceae bacterium. RNAcentral's name for it is "bacterial SSU rRNA". It matches the Rfam family "Bacterial small subunit ribosomal RNA", at positions 56 to 819 of the family's 1533-position model. The record is from RNAcentral. Lineage: Bacteria; Pseudomonadati; Thermodesulfobacteriota; Desulfobacteria; Desulfobacterales; Desulfobacteraceae.
UGCAGUCGCACGAGAACGCUUCAGCUUGCUGUAGCUAGUAAAGUGGCGAACGGGUGCGUAACGCGUGGGUAAUCUACCUCUGAAUUGGGGAUAACAUUGCGAAAGCGAUGCUAAUACCGGAUAAUAUCUAGAAAUCCCCGGGUUUUUAGAUCAAAGGUGGCCUCUACAUGUAAGCUAUUGUUUGGAGAUGAGCCCGCGUACCAUUAGCUUGUUGGUAGGGUAAUGGCCUACCAAGGCAACGAUGGUUAGCUGGUCUGAGAGGAUGAUCAGCCACACUGGAACUGACACACGGUCCAGACUCCUACGGGAGGCAGCAGUGAGGAAUUUUGCGCAAUGGGGGAAACCCUGACGCAGCAACGCCGCGUGAGUGAUGAAGGCUUUCGGGUCGUAAAGCUCUGUCAAGUGGGAAGAAUCUGUAAGAUGUUAAUACCAUCUUUCACUGACGGUACCACUGAAGGAAGCACCGGCUAACUCCGUGCCAGCAGCCGCGGUAAUACGGGGGGUGCAAGCGUUAUUCGGAAUCAUUGGGCGUAAAGAGCGCGUAGGCGGUCUCUUAAGUCAGAUGUGAAAGCCCGGGGCUUAACCCUGGAAGUGCAUUUGAAACUAAGAGACUUGAGUAUGGGAGAGGGAAGUGGAAUUCCUGGUGUAGCGGUGAAAUGCGUAGAUAUCAGGAGGAACACCGGUGGCGAAGGCGACUUCCUGGACCAAUACUGACGCUGAGGCGCGAAGGCGUGGGUAGCAAACAGGAUUAGAUACCCUGGUAGUCCACGCAGUAAACGGUGCAGUCGCA